UUGACCUCGGAUCAGGUAGGGAUACCCGCUGAACUUAAGCAUAUCAAUAAGCGGAGGAAAAGAAACCAACAGGGAUUGCUCUAGUAACGGCGAGUGAAGCAGCAAUAGCUCAAAUUUGAAAUCUGGCGUCUUCGACGUCCGAGUUGUAAUUUGUAGAGGAUGCUUCUGAGUAACCACCGACCUAAGUUCCUUGGAACAGGACGUCAUAGAGGGUGAGAAUCCCGUAUGCGGUCGGAAAGGUGCUCUAUACGUAGCUCCUUCGACGAGUCGAGUUGUUUGGGAAUGCAGCUCUAAAUGGGAGGUAAAUUUCUUCUAAAGAUAAAUAUUGGCCAGAGACCGAUAGCGCACAAGUAGAGUGAUCGAAAGAUGAAAAGCACUUUGGAAAGAGAGUUAAAAAGCACGUGAAAUUGUUAAAAGGGAAGGGAUUGCAACCAGACUUGCUCGCGGUGUUCCGCCGGUCUUCUGACCGGU
RNAcentral lists this ribosomal RNA (471 nucleotides) under Cladosporium cladosporioides. RNAcentral describes it as "LSU rRNA". It matches the Rfam family "Eukaryotic large subunit ribosomal RNA", at positions 1 to 468 of the family's 3401-position model. The record is from RNAcentral. Lineage: Eukaryota; Fungi; Ascomycota; Dothideomycetes; Cladosporiales; Cladosporiaceae.